AACGAACGCUGGCGGCAGGCCUAACACAUGCAAGUCGAGCGCGCCCUUCGGGGUGAGCGGCGGACGGGUGAGUAACGCGUGGGAACGUGCCCUUCUCUGCGGAAUAGCCUCGGGAAACUGAGAGUAAUACCGCAUACGCCCUUUGGGGGAAAGAUUUAUCGGAGAAGGAUCGGCCCGCGUUGGAUUAGGUAGUUGGUGGGGUAAUGGCCCACCAAGCCGACGAUCCAUAGCUGGUUUGAGAGGAUGAUCAGCCACACUGGGACUGAGACACGGCCCAGACUCCUACGGGAGGCAGCAGUGGGGAAUCUUAGACAAUGGGGCAACCCUGAUCUAGCCAUGCCGCGUGAGUGAUGAAGGCCUUAGGGUUGUAAAGCUCUUUCAGCUGGGAAGAUAAUGACGGUACCAGCAGAAGAAGCCCCGGCUAACUCCGUG
RNAcentral lists this ribosomal RNA (432 nucleotides) under uncultured bacterium. Its description in RNAcentral is "partial 16S ribosomal RNA". It matches the Rfam family "Bacterial small subunit ribosomal RNA", at positions 29 to 507 of the family's 1533-position model. The record is from RNAcentral.